UACUUAAAUGCUAAUGAAUUCCCUAAAAUAAGCAACUGAAUUCGAAUAACAGGUAAAAAUUGAAAUGAAAUACAUAAAGCUAGGUUCCUAAUUCAUUGCUAUUGAUGUAGGUUAGACCGUAUACUGCGCAUAUGACAAAUAGGCAAUUUCCACUGAAAUCUAGUUUCUUGUGAAACGCCGAACUAUUACAUAAACACCAAACGAGAAAGUAGAAGGACUAAGGGAUUACAAGAAGUUUGAAAAGAAACAGGAGAAGAACUAAACGAAGUUUUUAUCAAAGCGAUUAAAAACACGGAUUUCAAUUCUUCUCUUCUUCUGUAAACCCAACAAAUG
Aedes aegypti (yellow fever mosquito) is the source of this 333-nucleotide long non-coding RNA. RefSeq lists it as uncharacterized. The transcript has 3 exons. The record is from RefSeq and is a predicted model, not a curated record. NCBI's taxonomy places the organism in Eukaryota, Metazoa, Arthropoda, Insecta, Diptera, Culicidae.